This is a long non-coding RNA of Chelonia mydas (Green sea turtle), 1749 nucleotides long. RefSeq lists it as uncharacterized. Lineage: Eukaryota; Metazoa; Chordata; Testudines; Cheloniidae. The transcript is spliced from 2 exons. The record is from RefSeq and is a predicted model, not a curated record.
CAGCUGGUGGAAAAGAACAAAAUACAGGAGAGUAAGAUACAAUAAGCUGACGGCUCAAGCCCUCUUGGGCAAUUUUUUGAUCAAUUCUAUGACAGACAUCACUCUGUCUCAGAUGAUGAUUCAAGACUUGUACUAAGCAAAUAUUCUGCUACUCCGUUUUAGAUAUAAUCUACAGUCUGGCCUGGGGCUGCUACAGUGGAAGAACAAUGACUGUUACCCCUGAAUUUGGCUAAUGCAAUGUUAAAAGUUGAUAGCUCCAACAGUCCCUUACUGUAAGGAAAAAAAAGUGAAACAUGCCAUCUUGUUAAUACCUAAUUUCCACUUGCUGCCUAAGUAGCUUUUGUAGGCCCAGUACCAGUGACCUGACCUAAAGUUUCCUUGGUUCAGACAAGCAGAGUAACAGGUUUACAUACUACCCUUCACUGCGAAACAAAAAAAAAGGGAGGGACUGGGGAGAGAAAUGGCUCAAGUUUAAAAAUCCCAGAAGCAGGAUAUUUCAGAAGAAAAGAGUCAAGAAGUUUGGUUAUUUCCAAAGCUGAGAAAAAAUGAACUUCCAAAAAAUAAAAAACCUAACUUCUUAUGGCCAGAAUUUUGGAUUUUUCGGCUUGAAAUUACCAGAAGUGGGCUUUGUCCCAUCUAGAGUCAAAGUGGAAUUGCAAACUACAAACAGAGUAAUUUAUCAAAGCUGUUAAAAGAGUUGCAAUAAGCAAAGUUCUAUUCAAAGUGCUAUCUCCUCAAAGUUUGCUUGCCUUUGUUAUGGAAAUUCUAAUUUAAGAAAGCUACAUUGAGGUGCAAUGCACCUAAAUAAUGGUGACUAUGCUAUAAGCUUAAGUGCAACAGGUCACUCUAUUUUAUUGGCGGUAUCAUUGUUUGCAAGGUGUUUAAUGUUUUAAAAUAUCUGAUUGUUAAAAGCUGAAAGGAGUGUGUAAAGUUUCAUUAGAAAUAUGGAGGAUGUUACCCACCAGGGCUAUGACAGUGGCACCAGCUCCAGCACAGGCCACAAUGAACAGGUGAUAGGACAUGUAGAACUAGAAAAGAAGAGAUGAAAAAUAUUUUAAUGAUUAGAGGAACAUACAAUUGAAUCUGUUUGCCAUUUCAAUGGAGAACUCUAACACGGCCAAUUCAUUUUUUUCCUCUGUUGCUCUAUUUAUAUUACUGGUUAUUUACACAACAGGUAGCCCAGAAGACUUAAAUACAGUUUUUUUUCUGGCUUUGGAUGGCAGGAAGAAAGAUGUUAACAAUAUUGAUGUUUGCCACUGUUGCAUAGAUGGUGGUUUUGGCAGGUUAGUAGAGGCUUCUGAAAAAACACAUUUAUCUUCCAGUAUGACUUUCUUUGGCUUCUGCAAUAGCCCUUUAGUUUGUAUUGUACCUCAUUUGUGUUGCAGAUGUUCUCUAAAAUUGGCCCACAAGCCCUGCCUGGCACAGCAUUCCAAGGGAUGAUACCUGAAAUGACGACACCAGAGCAAAAUAUUGGAAGAGGAAAACAAGUUUACCUGCUUUCAACUACCAGUGGGUUUGCCAAGUUUGAAUGAACUAGUCCAAAAGAAGAGAAUAUUCUCUCUGAACCUGCUAGCUAAACUGAAACUGAAAAUAGUUAAGCGAAAGGCUUUUCUGCACAACAAACUGGACUUACCGUCACCCCACGGUAGAGGCUGAAAAUAAUACCGAUGCUUACUUAAUGUAUUAUUUUAAUGUAACAUUUUCAAGCUUGAGUUGACCUCGAAAGUGAAAUAUUUUCUGCCUGAUUCU